UCGUCUCUCCACCUCUCUAGCUCGGCUCGCUGAAAGGCCUCAAACUGUUGCGACCUGACAUACUCCUCACGCCCACACUCAUCUUUGGCGUAUGCCUCAAAUACUUGGUGUUGUGCAAACUAUUCCCGAGCGUACGCUCUCGCAUGCCGCCUGUUGCACUAAACGAACCGUCAUAACAUCAGAGCGCACGACCGUGAGCUAGGCACCCUGCUUCUAAAUAGAUGGGAAGCUUUUGCAUGUUUGAAAUGCUGUAACACAACUAAUCUCGCCCCAACUCCAAAAAAAAUAAUAAAAAAUUAAAAAUAAAUAAACCUUGUAGGUUAGCUAAUAAUAAGUUCAUAAAUUCAAAGUCAUGGUAUAUACCUUUUCAAAAUUUUAUUUUUUUGAAAUAAAAAUUAAGUAUUCAUAGUAUUAUAAUAAAUUGUAUUUGUAUACAAAAUAUUAUUAAAAUAAUAUAUAUAAGAGUGGGACAUAGUGACACACAUAAAAUUGUGAACACCCUAGAUCUCUUCCCUUCAUACACAAACACAGCGCCAGAGGCAGAAUUUUUCGUUGGGUAGGACUCAACUUGUACGGGGCUCGGGGGCUGUAGCCCUGAGCCAAACUUUUUUGGGCAUUUAGCACAAUUUGCUUUUUUUUUUCUUACUUAAAAAGUAGUAAUAAUAAUAAUAAAUAAAUAUUUUUAGGGUUGAAUGCAUGUAAUAUCAUAAACUUAAAGCGAAUUCGAAAUUUAGCAUGACUUUUAAAAGUUUCAAUUAAUAUGACUAACUUUGCUCCGUGUUCAAUUUUAGCACCGAUUUAUUUUCCGGCAAAACCACGUGGCAAUGACGUGUCUUCUGGCGGACACGUCAUAAUUUUGUUCUCUAGCGAGAGAGAGAAAGAGAAAGACGAGAGUGUCUGGCGGUGAAUGGCCGUCGUUGUCUGGCGGCGGCGCUCAUCUCGUCUCCUCCAUAGAGGCGGCAAAUCUAAGAAAACCCAUAGAUCUAGAUAUUAAAAUCAUCCGCUGACAUCGCCAAAAAUCAAAGAAGAGUUGGUGGGUGGUGCUGUCGGUGGGUUUUUUUGGGAGGGAAGGUGGAGGCAGCGCGGUGGAGGAGGCGACGCGAAGGUGGAGACGACGCAAUGGAGGAGGUGAGGGUGGAGGCAGCACAGGGAAGUUGCUCGUCUCGUCUUGAAUUGGGGGUAGGGUUUGCAGAGGCGGUGAGUUUGGGGAGUUAGGGCUUCGAUUGAGGUUGUGUCAUCGCCGGAGGUCGCGAAAGAGGAAGUCACCGACGCGAGCUGUGCGUCGUGCUUGGUAUGGGUGCGCGAGUUUUAGUUUCAAAGAGAGGGCAAGAGUUGACCGACAAUGUUACAGUUGCCAGAAUCGAAUGAGAGAAAUGCAAGCGGCAGCGGCGGCGGAGAAGGGGCACCGGGAAGAGGAAGGUGUGUUGGAGAAGGAGAGGCGCUCGCUGAGGCAGGAGGGGCAAAAUCCGAUGAGCAAAACGCAACGUUUUGCUUGCCAGCCGGAAACUUGUGCCGGCAAGCCACGUCAAUAACACGUAGGAUCGAAGCGUGUGUCGGCAAGCCACAUAAAAAAAAGUGCUAAAAUUGAACACGUAGCAAAGUUAGUUUUAUUAAUUGAAACUUUUAAAAGUCGUGCUAAAUUUGGAAUUCGCCUUAAGUUCAUGAUAUUACAUGCAUUUAAUCCAUAAUUUUAUAGAUCAAAUAAUUUCAAUAAAUUUUAAAUAACUUAAGAAUAUAUAUUUUGAUGAGCUAAAAUUUUCAUACGUUGAGGUAAAAUUUUGAAAAAUUCAAGUAUAUAUAAUAUUUUGUAACACUUUAACUUCGCAGUGAUAAUAUUUUGUGCACAAAUUUAAACAAUUAUACGCCAUUUUUCUUAUUUUAAUUAUAUUGAUAUUGAUAGAUGCUAAGAUAUGUUUUAAUUAAUUAGAUUUUAAUUAUAUUGAUAUUAAGAUAGAUUUUAAUUUAAACUAAUGAUAAAUUAUAAUUAAAAUUAAUAUUAAAAUAGAUAAUUAAGAUUUUUAUUUUAGCACCAGUAAGCUAAGUGUGUGAUUUACUUAGCACCAGUAAGCUAAGCAAGGGAAGUCCAACCCAGUGUGUCGGCACUAAAAAGAGUUUUUCAGUAGAGGGUUUGAUGUGCACCCGUAAGCACAAGCCUAGUCAAUUUUCAAUAUGAUCAACUGACCGUGGAAGUAAGAAUCAAUAUUCUGAACCACGUAAAAACCCUGCGUUCUUUACUGCUUUCAGUUUUCCAAUUCAUACAUGUGCACUAAUUUUGCUAUAUACUGAAUAUUGAUAAUCUAAAGGACAAAUCUUAAAAACUGGCAGUAUGUUUCACUAAAGGCUAUUUCAAAAUCGCUUCCGCUUAAGUAUGAUCGGUCUAAUUGACAAAUUUGAAGACAGUCAGUAAAAUUUCUAACACUACUUUGAUGUCAAAAUUGAAAAGGUUGAACCCUUAUUUGAAACUUCAGUUUGUUGACUAGUUCUUCACACUGAAGUUAACUGACUGACUCAUUAUCAGUCUCAGUUUUGAACCUUCUCUUAAACUGAUCUUUUAUUCAUUGUUCACAUUAGUUUCAGUUUUGCAAAAAUAGCCUAUUGGUGUAUUCCCUCCCUCCAUAUACCAGUUCACUACCCCACCGGAACCCAACAAAUAUGAUUAUACAACAUAUUCAUGUAUUAACCAACAUCGGAAAUCAUAAACAUUUCUCAAGACACAUAUUUUUUUACCUUCAUUUCUGGUGUUACCAGGUUUUGCAAUAGCUACGAUUUACCCGCUCCUAUGCGGCUACAUCUGCCUCAAUGUUGUUUGUCAAAGAAUGGACUACGGUUUAUCCGCUCCUAUACAUGUCAAUUUUUGUAAUAAUAGAAGAUUCAUUAUAAAUUUUUGCAAUAAUAAUGAAUUUGCCUGCCUUUCUCCGGGGCCCGGGCGACAACUGCCCCAUCAUUGACUGCUAAAUGAUGGAAUACAAUCGUGAGUUUCCAAAAUAUUAUGAACUCACCAUACCUGACAAAUAACAAUAACAUAUAAUUAACUACAAUGAUUCUAUCAACACGUACAUUAGGGAUCUUAAUUCACACUACAAAUAACAAAUGCAUAGCACUUCAUACUUCAUAGUACCGCACUGAACACAAUCAAAAGAAAAUUUAACACUGACAAUGAUUUGCAGUCAAACACACAUUAACUAAAACUAAUUUUUAAAAUGAUAAAAUUUUAAAAACAUAUAUCAACCGAAAUAUGGGAAAAAUUCAUCGCAAGUCUUACCCGGUGGGUUUGAUUUUGUCCACACCAUUGGUAUCGCCAGAUGAACCGAAUCGAUGACGAAAACAACACGGAAAUUAGAAGAAAUUGAGAGUUCAACUCGUUGGGCGACCGUAGCUUUUUUCCGAAGAAUGAC
This 3395-nucleotide long non-coding RNA is filed under the name Salvia miltiorrhiza (redroot sage). RNAcentral describes it as "long non-coding RNA (SMIL_LNC011831)". The record is from RNAcentral. Lineage: Eukaryota; Viridiplantae; Streptophyta; Magnoliopsida; Lamiales; Lamiaceae.